GAUGAACGCUGGCGGCGUGCUUAACACAUGCAAGUCGAACGAUGAAGGGGGAGCUUGCUCCUCUGGAUUAGUGGCGAACGGGUGAGUAACACGUGAGCAAUCUGCCCCUGACUCUGGGAUAAGCGCUGGAAACGGCGUCUGAUACCGGAUACGAGCCGAGCAGGCAUCUGCAUCGGUUGGAAAGAACUUCGGUCAGGGAUGAGCUCGCGGCCUAUCAGCUUGUUGGUGAGGUAAUGGCUCACCAAGGCGACGGCGGGUAGCCGGCCUGAGAGGGUGACCGGCCACACUGGGACUGAGACACGGCCCAGACUCCUACGGGAGGCAGCAGUGGGGAAUAUUGCACAAUGGGCGGAAGCCUGAUGCAGCAACGCCGCGUGAGGGACGAAGGCCUUCGGGUUGUAAACCUCUUUUAGCAGGGAAGAAGCGAGAGUGACGGUACCUGCAGAAAAAGCACCGGCUAACUACGUGCCAGCCGCCGCAGUAA
Molecule: ribosomal RNA, 484 nt
Filed under: uncultured bacterium
Lineage: Bacteria
Description: partial 16S ribosomal RNA
Rfam family: Bacterial small subunit ribosomal RNA
Source: RNAcentral